RNAcentral lists this unclassified non-coding RNA (378 nucleotides) under plant metagenome. RNAcentral describes it as "partial contains 5.8S ribosomal RNA, internal transcribed spacer 2, and large subunit ribosomal RNA". The stretch from base 1 to 105 matches the Rfam family "5.8S ribosomal RNA", at positions 50 to 154 of the family's 154-position model. The record is from RNAcentral.
GAAAUGCGAUAAGUAAUGUGAAUUGCAGAAUUCAGUGAAUUAUCGAAUCUUUGAACGCACCUUGCGCUCCUUGGUAUUCCUUGGAGCAUGCCUGUUUGAGUAUCAUGAAAUCUUCAAAGUAAAUCUUUUGUUAACUCAAUUGGUUUCUACUUUGGUAUUGGAGGUCUUUGCAGCUUCACACCUGCUCCUCUUUGUUCAUUAGCUGGAUCUCAGUGUUAUGCUUGGUUCCACUCGGCGUGAUAAGUUAUCUAUCGCUGAGGACACUGUAAAAGGUGGCCAAGGUAAAUGCAGAUGAACCGCUUCUAAUAGUCCAUUGACUUGGACAAUACUUUUAUGAUCUGAUCUCAAAUCAGGUAGGACUACCCGCUGAACUUAAGC